RNAcentral lists this ribosomal RNA (323 nucleotides) under uncultured bacterium. RNAcentral describes it as "bacterial SSU rRNA". It matches the Rfam family "Bacterial small subunit ribosomal RNA", at positions 471 to 793 of the family's 1533-position model. The record is from RNAcentral.
GACGUUAGUCUGCAGAAGAAGCACCGGCUAACUCCGUGCCAGCAGCCGCGGUAAUACGGAGGGUGCGAGCGUUAAUCGGAAUUACUGGGCGUAAAGCGCAUGCAGGUGGUUGUUAAGUCAGAUGUGAAAGCCCGGGGCUCAACCUCGGAAUUGCAUUUGAAACUGGCAAACUAGAGUACUGUAGAGGGGGUAGAAUUUCAGGUGUAGCGGUGAAAAUGCGUAGAGAUCUGAAGGAAUACCGGUGGCGAAGGCGGCCCCCUGGACAGAUACUGACACUCAGAUGCGAAAGCGUGGGGAGCAAACAGGAUUAGAUACCCUGGUAG